AGGCUUCCGUUAGCAUUAGUUAUCAUAGCUGAUCGUUCGUGACAGAAGUCUUUGGUAGCGCGCUUUUUUUAAGCUGAUAAUUGCAGCUUUCGAAGGAACUCAAAUUCAACAGUCAUCAGGCAUAUAAUCACAAGAUAUCAUGUAUUCAAACGCGCUGAUAACGUUCGCCAUUGUAGUCCUGUCGCCGUUUGUGAUAAACACACAGCAAACCAACAAAAAAUAUCGAUUGUGCGGAAAUGAUUUCGUCGAUGCUUAUUAUUCGUGCUGUAACCUUGGUUACCCGGCAUGCGCAAAUCAAGUACCUCAAGAAGCCUUUUUUCUUCACAAACGAAAAUUAAGAAAUCCCUUCAUGUCGUCGAGAGAAGCUAAGAAUUUCCUCGGUAAACUGAGAAAGCGAGAUCAAGUGGGCAACGAUUCACCUCUGACGACGCAGGCUGUUAAAGAAUGUUGCGUGAAAAAAUGUUCUUACAAAGAAGUCAGCGAGUACACGUGCCAUCGUUAGCUAGAACACUUCAUUAAUUAAUGCAUACUAAAUGAAACAUUCAUUUGCACGAGACUAGAUUAUGUUAUGUUAUUGCACUGUUAAACGUUUUGAGAAUGCAUUUAUACAAAUUACAUUCACUGGCGUAGCGA
Xenia sp. Carnegie-2017 is the source of this 633-nucleotide long non-coding RNA. RefSeq lists it as uncharacterized. NCBI's taxonomy places the organism in Eukaryota, Metazoa, Cnidaria, Anthozoa, Malacalcyonacea, Xeniidae. The transcript is spliced from 3 exons. The record is from RefSeq and is a predicted model, not a curated record.